Molecule: long non-coding RNA, 2912 nt
Organism: Carassius gibelio (silver crucian carp)
Lineage: Eukaryota; Metazoa; Chordata; Actinopteri; Cypriniformes; Cyprinidae
Exons: 4
Source: RefSeq, a predicted model, not a curated record
AGUAAUAUUCUGUGGACUCUGUAGAUCAAUAAUUAUUAAAAAAAAUUUUGAAUUUUGUCCUUUGGUUAGCUGUAACGGGGUAAUUUAGAAAAAGGGGUGUGGCCAAACAUACCCCAAAGCCUAUAAAACCUAAAGGAAAACUCAAAACUUUAUGAAACUCAGUGAAAUCAUGUAACAGGUGACUCUUAACAAGCAUGCAAAGUUUCAUGGAGAUCAGACCAUAGGUGGCGCUAUAACAGUAGAAAAGGUCUCAAAACACAAGAUUUAUAUGGUAAAAGGCCUCAAAGUGUUUGAAAAUGUUCAUAUAUUCACUCAAAAACACUAGAUCUUCAUAUCAUAUGAUAAAUCUCCUCAUUCUGAACAACUUUGCCUCUGGGACCAAUGUUGUCAAUAAAGCUGUUAAUUAAAUAUUCAAGAUUAUUUAAAAAAGUUACUUUGGCAUACUUGUGAUACGGUUUAAGAUGAAAAUCAAUAAAACCACUGAAGUACAAUUCUCUAGACUCAGAAGGUCAAUAAUUAUCAAAAACAUGUUGAACAAUUGCAUUUGGGCAACUAUAAACCAAUAAUUUUAUAAUAUGUUAUUUGCAUAGUGUACACAAAGGCCUAUUAAUACAAACAGAAAGCCCACAAAUUAUCAAAACUGUGUAAAAUAAUGCAUAAUUUCAUUCUAAACAAGCAUGCAAAAUUUAAGAGAGAUUGGGGAAAAAAAAAUAACAACACUAUAACAGUUAUGUUCAAAACCAGGGUUGUUUGAGUAAAUGCAAUUUAUAACCACUAGAUGGCAGCGGAAGACCACUAAUGGGCUCAUUCAGCUAAGUUGAACAGCACUGUUUUCAUGAAUUCUUGCCAAAACAUUAAUAAAUUAACUGUUAUAACAUUUUAAAUCUUACUGAAUCAAUGUUUUCCAUUUUGUUCAUACAGAUGUAUCAGUUUUUACAAUUUUGCCACAUUAUGAUUACAGUUUAACCUGAAAAUGACAUCUAAACUCUAAAAAAGAGAAGACUUGCAAUAAGUUUGUCACCUAUCACUUAUUUCAAAUACCUAUAUCUGCAACAAAAUGUGUGUCCAUGUAUAUGUGUGUGUGUGUGUGUGUGUGUGCAUAUGCUUAUAGAGUAUACAUAUAUUAGUCUAAUCAUUUACUUUCAGUGUGUGUGUCUGUCUGUUAGCCUGUUCUCCAUUUUGGAUGUGUUUAAAUGUCAUCCAUGCAUCCAGGUUGGCUCAGACCACCUCAGAGGCCUUAAUGUGCUUGAACCCCGGUAAAUGCUGCUUGCAGCUUUAAUUAUUAUUAGGGGUUCAAGCACGCAGUGCUGAAACCCUAUUGUAUCUGUUAGGAUUUUUAUUAUUAUUAUUAUUAUUAUUCUCCACUCAAACUGAUCGUGCAGCCCAAACCGUAAGGCCUAGAGCGCUGAAACUUGGUCAGAUGGUAGAAGUCCGGCCUUCUUGUCAGAUCCAAAGGCUCGCCCCAAUCGGCCUAAAGGGGGCGCUACAGUGAUCAAAAAUGCGUUAGUGCUAAUAACUCCUAAACCGCUUAUCAUAGAGCCAAAAAUUUUACAUUUCCGGAAUCCGUGGGUCAUGCGAAAUUAAAAACGGUCACUCUGAUUUUGGGUCUAGGAGGCCUCGUUUUUUCGCAAAUUUGACGUAUGUCCAAAACCUACUUUUGCGAACUAGUCCUAGGUUUUUCGCCCAAUCUGAACCAAACCACUGCAGAAAUGUUCUCUGGCCAGGGAAUAUCAAUAAUUAUCAAAAAAAAGUUGAAAUUUCGACUCGCUGUCGUAAUGGGAUGCCAAAACGUUCGAAAGUCGAGGACCAAUUUUACGCAACAGGCUAUAACUCGUGAAAGAAAUAAGAUAUCUUAACCAAACUUGCUACACAUUUGUAAGACCUAAAACUUUGGUCAAAUAAAAAAAAUUGCACACCUCUGCCACUUGGGGGCGCUAUAAAAAGAAAAAACACAUAAAUGGCUAUAACUAGGCUACCGUUGGCUCGAUCGACCUAAAAAUUGGUAUGCAGUGUCUUUGUCUGAAGGGGCACAAGUACCUAUGAGGACAUUUGCAUAUCUCAAAAAACAUGGCCGCCAUUGGCCAAACAAUUUUAAGCACCUAUUUGAAAGGGUUAACGGAUGUUGAUCGGAACGAAACUCGCUGGGUGCGUUCGACUCAUGAACCUUAAGGUCUGUAAGAAUUUUGAAAGAAAUCGGCCACUAGUUGGCGCUAACGAGUUUAUUGGCUCUGUAAUCACGUGGUGUUUCACUUAUCAACACAAUAUGCAUAUCAUUUGAUAGAUCUCCUCAUAAUGCACAACUUUGCCUCAAGAACUAUUGCUGUCAAUCAAAUAGUUCAAAUGUUAUUCACAAAUAUGUUAAAAACCUACUUUUACGAACUAGUCCUAGGUUUUUUGUCCGAUCGGAACCAAACCACUGCAGUAAUAUUCUGUGGACUCUCUAGAUCAAUAAUUAUCAAAAAAAUGUUGAAUUUUGUCCUUUGGUUAGCUGUAAAGGGGUAAUUUAGUAAAAGGGGUGUGGCCAAACAUACCCCAAAGCCUAUAAAACCUAAACGAAAACUCAAAACUUUAUGAAACUUCGUGGAAUCAUGUAUCAGGUGACUCUUAACAAGCAUGCAAAGUUUCAUGGAGAUCGGAUCAUAGGUGGCGCUAUAACAGUUGAAAAAGCCUCAAAAACACACAUUUUCAAUAGAAAAUGAUCACAAUUUGUAGGACAUGUUCAUACAUUCACACAAACACUAGAUCUUCAUAUCAUAUUAUAGAUCUCCUCUUUGUGAACAACUUUGCCUCAAGGAGCGAAGAUGUCAAUCAAAUCGUUCAAUUGUUAUUCACAAAUAUGUUAAAAACUUACUUUUGCGAACUAGUCCCAGAUUUUUUACCCGAUCGAAACCAAACCACUGCAGUAAUUUUCU